UACACAUGCAAGUCGAGCGGAUGAAGAGAGCUUGCUCUCUGAUUCAGCGGCGGACGGGUGAGUAAUGCCUAGGAAUCUGCCUGGUAGUGGGGGACAACGUCUCGAAAGGGACGCUAAUACCGCAUACGUCCUACGGGAGAAAGCAGGGGACCUUCGGGCCUUGCGCUAUCAGAUGAGCCUAGGUCGGAUUAGCUAGUUGGUGAGGUAAUGGCUCACCAAGGCGACGAUCCGUAACUGGUCUGAGAGGAUGAUCAGUCACACUGGAACUGAGACACGGUCCAGACUCCUACGGGAGGCAGCAGUGGGGAAUAUUGGACAAUGGGCGAAAGCCUGAUCCAGCCAUGCCGCGUGUGUGAAGAAGGUCUUCGGAUUGUAAAGCACUUUAAGUUGGGAGGAAGGGCAGUAACUUAAUACGUUGCUGUUUUGACGUUACCGACAGAAUAAGCACCGGCUAACUCUGUGCCAGCAGCCGCGGUAAUACAGAGGGUGCAAGCGUUAAUCGGAAUUACUGGGCGUAAAGCGCGCGUAGGUGGUUUGUUAAGUUGGAUGUGAAAGCCCCGGGCUC
This 565-nucleotide ribosomal RNA is filed under the name Pseudomonas sp. SH-2-04. RNAcentral's name for it is "bacterial SSU rRNA". It matches the Rfam family "Bacterial small subunit ribosomal RNA", at positions 50 to 610 of the family's 1533-position model. The record is from RNAcentral. Lineage: Bacteria; Pseudomonadati; Pseudomonadota; Gammaproteobacteria; Pseudomonadales; Pseudomonadaceae.